AGCCGUGAGCUAAGAGGGCCUGCAGCCCUCCGUUGAACCCAGAACGCGUCACCACUGGACGAAGCGAUUGGGCCAUGUUUUUGUAAAAAGAAUUAGGCUCAGGAAAGUUCCUGGGCCCACUAUCUGCACAGAUGUAGGCCUGGAAACAUGUAACCUCCUGUAGGCUUGAAGUUUAUUGCCCUGUGUGAUGGGCUGAUACAAGUGUGGAGCCUUUAGGCUUCAAGCCCGAACUAAUCUUGGCCUACGUGACAUCAGCUCGUUAGGCUGUGGUCCUCCCCUGCACCACACCACACUUGAUCAGCACCCCUGCAUGGGCUCUUGCUGACUUAGGCCUACAACUCCAUUUAUUUUUGGUGUGUUAGGGAUUGGCAUGCUUCUUGCCCCUUACCCAUGACUAUUCCAACCCAUAUUUUUAGGCUUGGAUCCCAUUACCUUUCAGAUUUUUUUUUAUUUUUUUAUUUUUAUUUUUUAACUUUGGUCCAAUGCCUUGGGCCACCAAUUAUAUUGCCUUUUUUUAGGCCUUAUGGGUUUUAGAUUUUUUUGCCCAACUUUUAAUUUUGGCCCGAAGUCCAAAUAUUUAAAUUAUAAAUUCUAUACAUAUUUGCAUAUUUUCUCGUUGCAUAUUUUUUAUAUAUUGUGUUUGUUUGCAGGUAUUAUGAACUUGAAGUUUAGGAAAAGUGCCAUAGAAACCUAAAGUUUCUUAAUGCUCAACACUCAUGUUGAGACGCGAAGUUUUCCAUGCUUAAAUCUGUUUAAACCAACCCAUGUCUUAAAACCUGAAUGUUCUAACUUUGACGUUUAUGGAAAUUUUAUAAAACACCAAUCACAUUCUUGUUUCCGCCAUUCAGCAAUUGUAACAAGUUCAAUUUCACUGAUUUGGAAGUUUCGAACAAGAAACUACUUUAUGUGGAUACAACAAGUGACACGCCACUUGACUAUGGCUAGUUACGAAAUCGUUGUAACUAGUUAUGGUAUGGAAGAGCUGAAUAAGCAUCCGCCAUAAUCUUCAUUCGAAAACUUAUGCCUGAAGCAUAUCAAAUGGAAUUAUGUCGAGGACUCCAUGGCUCUUUGACUCGUUAUGGACCAUGCAAUGAUGAAUUCUUGCCUAAACCAAAACAUGAUUGAAACCUUUACGUCCAUAAAUAGGUACAAUUCUGAAGUUUAUAUCCGAUCAAAUUUUGACAGGAAGAAAAUCUUCCUCGUCCUUAUAUAUCUAAAUUGCUCCUGAAGUAGCAGUAUAGAGAGCAGAAGCCACCGAAUUCUCAGAUCUGAUUACUACCACACUUGUGAGAGAAAGGUACCCCAACAAUUCGGUUGGGAGGUACUGAACGGUAUAGACCCAGUUUCGACUGGAGUCAACCGAAUAGUGGUGUCUUGCUUCGAUAGAGAUGCACCGAAUAGGCAUGCUCUGCUUCAGCAAAGGUGCACCGAACGGUAAUGCCCUGCUUCGGCAGAGGCCUACCGAACAGACCCCUCCAGCUUCAGCUAGAGCCUAUCGAACCCAAGUUUGGGUCAGUCAGUCAGUCUCUUUCUCUUUCUUUCUCUCUCUUUCUCUCUCAUACGAUAAAAUUUUGAGUUUGUUUUACAACAUAUGGUAGAAUCAAGCUUGCCAAGAGGUGGUAUCACGCAUGAAGCAUGAUCCUUGGCACAUAAAACUUCAAGAAUAAAGGAUAGUAUUCCCGAACCUCUACCUUGCAGAAUCUAACUCUAUUUUAACGAAAUAGAUCAUUUGUUAUGCACUUGUAUAUGCCUCUACCAAUGUUGUUGAGGAGUACCAUUCCCGUAGUCAAUCUGUGAGACUAAUUUUGCUCCAUCUAACACAUUUGGAAGAGCAAAAUUUGACAUGGCAGGCCUAUUGGCCUAAUCCACUUAUCUUUUUGGUUUACUUUGUGAAUUUAUUUAUUUUAUUCUUGGAUUUAAAAUUGGUGUUUGGACGUCACUAUUGUUCUCGAAUAAGAGUUAAUUAGUGAAAAUUACCACAUGUGACUAUAAUUAACUCAUGCUUAGGUAUGUUUUGUGGGGAAGUUAGCAGUUUGGUUCUAUGCUAACUUCAUACCUAACCCUUGACAACAUUUCAUGCUUAUCCAACCUAAUUGUGGGUAUGGCACUGCCCUAUAUUGUCCAAUGGUACUAAUUUUACCAUAAAGGGAAGCCUUAUACUCACUCAUUCUGGAAGAACACCCUUUGGAGUUUUAAGGAUAUUCGAGAGCACUAUUACCAUAUUAAAACCAAUGUAGAAAAUGGAGUAAAAUUCUUUAGCAUAUUACCAUAUUGCACUUCCUACGAAUAUAGCCAAAUGCAUAUUCUAGAGAAGAUGGAAUGCUUAACAAGUGGAUUACACCCAUUUAGGUCCACUAAGUGGUUGUCUAGAAGCCUGCGAUUCCAAAGGAAUUUUCUCUAUGGAUGAACAUUUGGGAUAUCUAGAAUGAUCCGUGAUGUGCCAUUUUGGGCAUCCUUUUACCAAAAGUAAAGACAUCAAACCUGGACUCGUAUUAUACAUUAGUACCCUCAAUCUUUUCUACAAAGGAUUCAAAGGGGACAUUUGUGGACGGACUCAACCAUUUAUAUACUUUAUGUCACAAGUGUGGUUGUUGUCCACAAGCUGUAUUCUCCACACUGGUGGCUCAAAUUAACAAGCUCAGGGCUCACCACCUUGAUUAUCUGAUCAAAUUUAUUUGAUUUGAUAAGUUGGAGAAUUUACAUCGAAAACUUCGACUUUCGAUGGAUAUUGCAUGUCAGUUGGGUUUUGAAGUUGAACAUCAAGUACCCUAUGUUCAUAGCCAGAAUGACCCAACAGAAGCAUUCAUUAAACACCUUCAAAUGAUUGUGCAAUCGAUUGGUCAUAUGUACCAAGUUCCACGAUCUUUGCUUGGGGCCAUAUAAUAUUGCAAGCAACCAUGUUGGUCUGCUUGAGGCCCUUCACAACCCAACUUUAUGAAGUGCGUGUCAGUUGGUUACCAGAUAUGGACCCGACCUAUCGUAUCUGCGCGUCUUUGGUUGUGUGGUCUAUGUGCCAUUUUGCGCCACCCUUACGUACAAAAGAAAAAAUGGGUCCUGAGGGAAGGAUGGAAAUCCAUGUUCGUUAUGAUUCUCCUUUUAAUAUUCAUUACUUAGAACCCUUGACAUGCGAUCUUUUUACUGCUUGUUUUGCAGAUUGUCAUUUUUAUGAAACAGUUUUCCCGUUGUUAGGGGGAGAUAAGAACGUCAACGUUCCAAAAGAACGACGCGAAUUAUCGUGGACAUCCCCACUGUGUCUCAUAUCAAUCCCAAUCUAGAUUGUCAGAGUAUAACCAGACAUUUCCUCUGAUCUAGGAAAAUUGACGAGAUCACAUAUACCAGCUGCAAAUGUGCCUGCCAAGAUGUGUAUUAAAUGUACGAUGUACUUUUGUCCCGAAAGUAGAAACGCUACUACUGUGGCCUACCCUCAUACAUUGGCGGCUAGCCAAUCAAUCUGUCAUGUGCCAGAAGCGUGGCAGAUCAUUCGGUUCGAGGAUUUACUUCCCCAAAAUUGGAGGAACAUGGCAUGAACAAAUCCGCCUCUCGAUUGUUGUCUCAAUCCUUUUCAUCUCAUGAUAUUAAAUCCGGAUUACUCCCGAGACCUGAAGUUCUUGGUCCAGUAUACUAAUUUGGAUGAGAUAUGGAAUUGGAAUUAGAUUAUCAUAGAUGAUGUUUCAUUUAUAUGGUUAUUACCGACAUAAAUGAAAAACGAUGACAACGAACCGUAUUCCGUUGAUUAGCAUCAACCUAAAACUGAUUGGUCAACUAAAAGAUCAACGUAAAAUUGAUUGGUCAACUAAAAGAAUCAAUCUAUUAUGAAUGAGAUGAAUGAAAUAAUGCGAUAUGAUGCCUUGUGGCGCAAGGUUUCUCUCAUACGUUAUGUGAUUGAUUGUAGCAUUGCAAACAUGGUUGUAGUAUCUCUGGGAUCCUGAUACGAACCUAUAUGGAGUUUCCAAAGAACUUACAUGUACUGAUUCAAAUAGUUCUAGACCACAAGAACACCCUAUCAGUUCUCAAGAGGCAUUUACUUUACGGAUGUAGAACUAUUCAGGCGGAUCUGGUAUACUCGUCUAAGUGAAUAUUUGAAUAGUUAGGGAUAUAUGCCCCUGAGUGUAGAAAAUCUGAAAUUGCUAGAGUUAAGAAAACUGACUCGUACCUAAAUCGGACUUUAAGAUGAAUGAUCUUGGGAAAACCCGACAUUACCUUGACCUAAAGUUUCGAGCUAGUUCUGAUGGUAUUAUGGUCCACCACUGGAACUAGACCCAAAAGGUGUUACGUCUAAGUAUACCCUGAUCGUCUGUAUGCUAGAUGCAAAUGAGACCUUUACGGACGGUAUAGAGCAUAAGGUUCCAUAUUGGAACGUGAGGCAGCCAUAUCUAAGUGCCAUUUACGUUUUUUGUACUUAGCUCAAAUGCACUAGAUCAGACAUCUUAUGUGUUGAUAAUCUUUUGACAUAAAGCAGCAUUAUGCCUAACACGCCCCCAUUAAACUUGGUGUUAAAGACGUUUUUUCGUUACUACGGAGAUGGGCUUUUCUAUCCCUAUGCAUUUCAGAAUAGAUCAUACCCCCUUGAUCUUCGGAAUGAUGCCUACCUUGUAGGAUUCGCUGAAUCAGACCAUUUGUCUGAUCGCACAUGGUACGUUUCCGAAUGGUUAAGUCUUUACCAUUAAGGAACACCGCAAUAUCUUGGAAGUCAACCAACUAGACCUUUUUUUGUUGCUAAACUUUUGAAUCGUUCCAAGACUCACUAUGUCUCAUCACGUGAGAGAUAUGGUUGAGAAAUCUUGUUGAGCAUAUUCAAAAUCCCUGUGAUUUUCAUCUAUCGUUGAGUCCCAACAACGAUCCAUGAAGACAAUGCCAUAUGUAUUGACCAGAUCAUGAUACAUCCAACAAGUCAACACCAAGCAUAUUAUGUCUACAUCAGCAUGAGCAUCAGAAUAUUGAAGUCAAGCAGUUUGAUCCUAGACAACCUUGCCAACCUAUACAACGUCACUGCCGAAGUCUACCUUUCCAGAAGCUUGUCCAAGGAAUUGGUAUGCGUAACUUUCUCAUUUGCAAUGCUUGUAGUUUUAUUUUGAAGUUUUGUCAAACUCAGGGAGAGUAUCUAAAAGUAUACUCACUUGAUAUUAAUGUACUCUUUUUUCCUACAAUUAGGAGCAUUUUUCUCACUAGGUUUUUGCUACCUAACUAGGUUUUAACGAGGCAUCUAUCCUGGGCUGAUCAUACCCUUGUGAACUCUUCUACUUGCGUCCAGAAGAUGUAUAGUUUUGACUUAAUGCAACUUCUCACUUUUCUACUUUGAAUAUGGGCUUUUUGUCUCAUCUUGGGUUUUUCCAUAGCGAGGUUUUGUGAGUUUUACCACCCAUGCAUUCUUCCGUUCGUUUUGAGACUCGCAUUUGCUACUUGUGCCAACUAGAUGAGACGACUUCAUCAACUGCUUCUAUAUUUACCUGAAGAUCUGAUGCGCCAUGUACUUGAGUAUUUGCACACUCAAGGGGGAAUGUUGUGACAUAUGUUAUUAUCAAUAUGUGAUUGUGUAAAUCCUAAGUGGAGAUAAAAUAGGAAUCCCUUGAGAUUUAGAAGAUCUUUCCUAAUAUACUUUGUAUUACUUGGAGAGCAAGUUUCUCUCCUCCUUAUUACUAUAAAUAAAGGCACAAGGAUUGGGGAAUUAAUACACAAUUCCUCAAGCCUAUUCUCCACUCUCUCUUUCUCUCUAUGCCGCACCCCUUGGUAAAUAUAGGCCACAACAAUAACCGCAUUUUCACGGAAAUUGUAAACUAUAGUUGUAAGUUUUUAAUCGAUUCCGUUAAUUUUUUGUAAACUAUAGCCCUAAGUUUUUAAUUGAUUCCGUUAUUUUUUUUAAAAUUCAUAUUUUCUUGGCAUUUUCCCAGCAUCACAUGCUUCAUAACAUUCAAGUUGGACAUUCCAUAAAUGUUCUAGCCGCCGAAAUCCAUUAUGGUUUUGGAAACUCUGUUUUGGGCCUUACUAGUACUGUUCUUGAAUUUUCAACUUUUCAACCAAAAUUGGGAUUUUCGCAUAAAUUGUGUGCUAUAACUCUUACUAUUUUAAUAUUUUUUUUUUUUUUUACAUAACAAGUCUAUAGUUCGAUUUCCUCCGGUAUAACAAGAAAAUGAUUGUCAUGGUUGUUCAAAUAAUUAAUAAAAAAUUAUAGGGUAAUUCUAUUAACACUCUACAAUCUUAUGAAGACACUUAAAAUUUGUCAGGUGAACUUCCUCUUUUACCCCUAUUUGAAUUAAGGUGAGAAAAAGAAAAUCCAACCAUCCAAUUAUUUGUCGACAGCCAACCACCUCACAGCCAUCCACUUACCAUGGCACCACAUUCUCUAAAGUUCAUCUUCUUGUUGGUAUGAAUUCUCUGUAAUUGAUAUCUGGCAUCAAUUGUCAAGACAACUCGUGCUUGUUGAUUUGAUCUAUGCUUUUGCACUUCUAAUUUCAUUUUGUAGUUGCAUGUUUCUACAAUUCUUUGCGAGUAUAAAGCCUCUAGAAUUUGGGUAUUUUCAUUGCUUAAUUGAAGUGAAGGACUAUUACAUUCUUUUUUAUUUUCUUUGGAAACGGGGUUGGUGAGUUUGGGUGUUGGAACUCAAGGUGUAGGGAGAGAACGAGAGAGGUUGGAGAUGUGAUGCUAAUGGGGUUUAGGGAUGUGAACUCGGUGGAAUGGAGAUGUUUAGUGUUUCUUUUUGGUUUUGGGGUGGGGUGGCUUCAGAAAUAUGAGGGACAAAGUUGGAAUUUUUGAGGAAUUUUUUGGAGGUGGGGUGGAUUCAUAACAUUGUGGGGUGUGUAUAAAAUAACCCAAAAUUAUAACCUAGUAAUGUAACUAAGGAAAAAAGAAAACACAUAAAACAAAAGGAUGUUGUAGACGAGAGAUUUUUUAGUGUGGGGACAGAGAGUGGAACACCAUAUGUGAUUAUACAUUGGAGGAAUUUUUUUUUCAAGUGUCUUUCCAAUUGUAUUAGGACAUGUGAUUUUUCGCUUAAAGUUCUGGACACAGUGAAAAAGCUCUCGUUGUAUAAAUGGGUUAAAUACAGUCUUCUGCAUCAAGUUCAAAUUCUUGUUCUCAUAAGUUUAAUUAGACGUUAAAAUUGUCAUCCAAUACAUCGAACAUAAGACAUUUUCUUUGGAUCAACGAGAGGAGAGUUCAACUUUUCUCUCUCAAAGACCUCUCUCGCUGAAAGACAAAUAGAGGUAAAAAAAUUGUACCAGCCGGCCUUAGCCUUUGGCUUGGGUGUCGGUGGUAGCCCCUCUUUUUGAUCCUCAUUCCCUCUUUCUUUCUUCCCUUUUUCUAUUAUUUCAAUUUUCUACUAAGUUUUGUUUCAGCUUUCUUUGAAAUUGGUCUUAAUUUUUCUUCUGAAUUUGUCUUAGAUUUGGGCUUCAUGCCCCUUCCUCAGCGUCCAUCGUCGCUUGUCCGCCGUUUUUCGUCAGUUUUUACUGCCUUUUGUUAUUUAGGUUUCCACCGUCCCUCUCCUGUGCCUUUUGGUCUGAUCAUGGCAAACAUUAUUGUAUAACAUAUCGUCUAAGUCAACAAAAUAGAAAAGAAAAAACCUUACAACGUCAUUUAAGGAAGAACUAGUCUUAUGCUAACUUUGGUUUGCGAGCCAAUUACUAUGCGUCCCUCUUCUUGUUGAAAGGGACAGUUCCCUCCAUUUCCUGCGUUGUUGAAGUUCAUGUUAACUACAUUGCAAUGGUUGUGGAUUGAAGGGAAAAAUAAGGAGAAAGGAUGAACAUAAAGAUGAACAGAGAGAUAUGAGAGAGAGAAGAAAGUUUAGAGAGAGAAAUAGGUUUUGUAUUAACUCAUCAAAUGAAGAUUACACAUACUAUUUAUAUAGAAAUCCUAACUACUUUAACCAGAUAUUAACUACCUAACUAUAUUACAUUUUUACCCUUAAUAGUUCAAACAGUGCAGGAAGAGAGAGAGCCAUGCAUCUAUGGUCGUCGGCGACAAUCAGAGACUCCUUCAAGCUCGCCUACCUCAGAAAGCUCGAAUGGAACCUCCAGAGGAUGAAAAGCGAGAAGGAAUCAUAGAAUUUAGUCGAUCAAAAGCUGCUCGACGGCCAAGAAGCCGGAGCUGCCAGACAGCCGAAUAGCCCACAAUGCGAAAUCAACGGGAAAGCACUACCAAUUCUAAGGCUCGUGGAGGUGAUGGAGUGGUCGUUGGACUCUGUAGCGAGAUUCUGAUGCUUCUCUCUUGCUGCUUCUGCUGUUAUUCAUCGUCAUUAUUUGGUUUUCUACGUGGGGGAAAUUUGCUAAUUUUUUAUCGUCAGUGUUUUAACUUAGGUAGAAAAAUUGGGUUAAUCGUUGCUUAGGGAGACCUAAAAAAAAAAAAAUCUCAUAUAGGAAUAGGACUCAAAAGGUGAACCUCACUGUUAAUUUUAAGUGGAAAACAAGUUCACUCACGUGUGAGUGCUGUACAUCAUCUUCUUUUUGUUAAAAGAUGGGUACAGCCAAAAGUAAAAGAAUUUAUGCGGCCAUUUUUAUUGAAAGAUGGGUAAAUUUGGCACGUCCACUUGUAUACAAUUAAUGAAAGUUUCAAACAUGACACGUUAUAUUGAAACUUCAAUGAAUAUAAGAUGGGAUGAGUACUCGAAUUUAUAUGAUUAAAACACCAUUUACACUUUUAUUUUCAGCCUCCAAAAGCCCAAAACACGAAAAUAUGGAUGAUGGUUUUUUUUUACUUUAAUGUUGGGUGGGCCUUGUGGGUUUCAUUACUCAAAAAGCCUAAAGCAGAAGUGGGCUGUAAUUUGCUUUUUGUGGUGGAACCUAACAAGUUGAAGAUGGGCCUAAUGGCUAGCAGACAGUUUAACAGAUCAAGUGAGGUUAGCUACGUAGCCAAGCAAAAUUCCAUCUUACCUCACCCACAUUGAGUUUGAGUUGCCGGUCUCUUGAGACUAGCAAGAUUCCAAUACCUCUACCUCAGAGGGCCAAAAGAGUGACAUAAACAUAAUGUAUAUCCUUAUUCUUACUAUUUCUAAACGUAUUAUAAGCAUAUUACUUCACACUAUCAGCAUGUAUAGAAAAUUUUCAACGUGAACGUAACACUGUCACAUACUGUUAUAUAAUAGGUGAUUAGUAACAUUACGUGACACUGUCACGAUCACAUAAAAAAAACUUGGGUAAGGUAAUUUGACUAGCUGAAUGGUCACACACUCUCAUAAAGGAAUGAGCAUUGCUUUUGGUACCUAUGACCCGAUGCAGGUACAAUUUACAAUCACACAGUCUCACGCUUUGUGAGAGUGACUUGAUUAUCAAGCUGCAAUAGUGAAUACUCUCUCCUACGAUUAAAACUCUCAUGCACCAUAUUUCAUACCCGUUUUUCUGUCUAUUUAUCUAGAUUAGUCCUAUGAUGUGAUGAGAGAGAUUAAAAGAAAGGAUAUGAAACUGAAACAUGGAAUAUAUAAGUAAAAAAAAUGUGUGCAAGCUUCUAUGAUUGCUUCUUCUAGCACGGCAAACAAGUGCAAUACUUCAAAGUCAAGCAACCACCGUCGCUUCUUCUUAAGAGCUCACCCUCACCCUCAGUCUCCACCACCAAAGGGACCUCCCUCUACUGCCACAUCUUCAAACUUCAACUGCAAAAAUUACCAACAAAUUAAUCAAAUUUACUUAAUUAUGGCACCCAUCACCAGCCUCGUCUGCUUCGUUCUCACUCACUUUGGUUUUCUCUGGACACCCACAGUUUUUCAAAAUUUCAGGCAUGAAAUCCCCAUUGAGCUCGAGCGAGGUACAUUCAGCAGUUACAGGUACGAAAAUCCCCUCGGUCUCUCUCCCUUGGGUUUUGGUUUUGCACACCCUGUACUUGUAACCCUUAUGUAAUCUCAUCAUUGCAGCUACCUGCAUUUAAUUGUUGUUCAAACUUAAUCAACACCAUAUAUAUAGAUAUAUAUGUGCGAUUAUAUGUAUGUAUGUUGAAACAAUCAAAGUUCGACAUGAAGGGCCGUUGUUUGGUUUUGGAGCUGCAGAUGGUGUUCUGAUCAUGGAAUUCUGAUCAUGGAAAACAUUGUAUAACCUAUUGGAGCUGCAGAUGAAUGUAUUGUACAUGUGUUUUGUUAUGCAUCGUGUAUGAUCAGGAGAAAUUAGUCUGUUGUAUUGGAUACGAAGCAUUGACAUUCGCCUAUCUUGUUAGUAAGUUCUCUUAUCAUUUUAUCUUGUACAUAUUUUGUGGGUGUCGAUUAAUUUGGGAUUGAUUCUCCAGUGAGUCAGUUUUGUAAGCAUUUCAUUUUCAGCUUUUAGUUUUUAGUUUUUAUUUUUUGGUUUUUGGUUUUCAGUUUUCAUUUUUUGAAUUUGAAAAAUGAAAUAUGGUUUUGUAACUACAUUCAGUUUUCAUUUGAAACCAAAAAGUGAAAACUCACGACUAAAUUUAGAAAACUCAAGAAAAUAAUUUUUAGGUAUUAUUCUUUUUGAAAUCUGGAAGCAGUUACCAAUUAAGAUUUCAGUUUUCAAUUUAAAAAAUAAAAAAGUGAAGACGAAAUGUAAGAAGUUUGAACGAGUUUAGAUGACCUUUAAGGUUUAAGCAUAAGGGGUUGCCUUAAAUAGAAGCAAUUAGAGCUAAUUUCUACACUUUACCAUCCUUUAUUUCUACACUUUGUACUGGUUUGGUACUGAUGUGCUUUUAUAAAAAGUGGGUAUAAAAAAAAGCUGAGCUCAAAAAGGUGUUUGGUAAACACUUAAAAACAACUUAUUUUCACAGUUUUGUAUGAAAAAAAGUUGAAAACAUGAAGUAGCAAAAAUGAGCUUAUUCUCACAUCACAGCAGAAGCAGUUUUUUUUUUCAAAACACAGCAAUACAAAACCAAUCUAAUCUGACGGACCAAAUCUUCCACAUCACUAUCAAUUCUACUUCAUCCUCUUACUCCAAAGUCUCAUUCACUAAAUGAUCCAAAAGUCCAAUUCCAUUUUAAUUGGGUGACCUUGCCACUCAGAGUAUUUCAAUUGUGUAGGGUUUGCAACAGUGGUGUGCAGAGUCAAAAAUCCAUGUUAGGAGAGGCCCUUAAGCUAAUGAAAGAAAUUAGAAAAAAAAAUUAGUAAUAUCAUGGAAAAUUUUAAUCAAACAAGAGUGAUUGAGCUUUAAAAUUUGUAUGAAAAAAUUAGUAUUGAGUAUAGUCAUAGUAAAUAGAACUUGUGUUAACAUCUUACACAACAUUGAUAAUAACGUUAUAACUAGCUCAAACUAUUAUUAUGUGAUUUUUCUUUUAAUAUUAUUGAAUGUUCUUCUCAAAUGUAUAUAUACCUUGUUUUAUAUGAACUAAAAAAAAGGUUUUAAUAGAAAUCAUAGGGUUGGCAGAAGGGUGGUUAUAUAUGGUUUUUACUUGUGGGGGGUUUAAAAAACCAAAAGGUAGUUUUCUGUUAGCAAGUGUCAAUCCCAGGACGUGAUGAUACCUCCAAAAUGUGGAAGUAGUUACCAAUUAAGAUUUCAGUUUUCAAUUAAAAAAAAAAAAAGUGAAGACGAAAUGUAAGAAAUUUGUACGAGUUUAGAUGACCUUUAAGGUUUAAGCAUAAGGGGUUACCUUGAAGAGAAGCAAUUAGAGCUAAUUUCUACACUUUACCAUUCUCUAUUUCGACACUUUAUCUGAUCUGACAUACCAAAUCUUCCACAUCACUCUCAAUUCUACUUCAUCAUCUUACUCCAAAGUCUCAUUCACUCAAUGAUCCAAAAGUCCAAUCCCAUAUUAAUUGGGUGACCUCGCCACUCAAAGUUUUUCAAUUGUGUAGGGUUUGCAACAGUGGCGGAAUGCUAGGAGGGACCUUUUAAGCUAAUGAAAAAAAUUAGAAAUUUUUUUUAGUAAUAUCAUGGAAAAUUUUAAUCAAAUAAGAGUGAUGGAGCUUUAAAAUUUGUAUGAAAAAAUUAUUAUUGAGUAGAGUCAUAGUAAAUAGAACCUGUGGGGGUUUAAAAAACCAAAAGGUAGUUUUUUGUUAGCAAGUGUCAAUCCUAGGACCUGAUGAUACCUCCAAAAUUUGAUCUACCAAUACACCACAUACUCAUUAUUGCUAAAACCAAUAGACAAAUAUAAGUUUAAAUUCCAGGAUGGGCACUGGACUACCCUAGUCUCUAUGUGGCUCCACCAUUGGUUGCAAUUGCAUUAAAUGAGAUACAACGUUGCAAUAUAGCAUAUUUCAUAGCAUACUUAAGGUAUCUAGACACCUACUUUUAGUUCUAAGGGAAAUUCUCUCGUUUUAACAAGAAAUUAUUGUAUGGUACUGGGACGUUGUUAAAAGAUAUAGCCAUUUCAAUUUUAACAUUCAAAUUGGUAUUAAAAUCAACUCUAAAGCAUAAUUUCGCCGUCUACCUAUUUCAUAACACACAAAUUUGUAUAUAUUUUUUUGUUUUCAUUUCAACUUAGUCAUAAUCAAAAUAGAUUUUUUUUACUCAUAAGUGUUGUGGCCAAUUUAUCUGACAAGGGAGAGAGGGGCGCAACAAGAUAGAGAAUGGAGAAAGUGUUGGGAUUUCUGUGUGUAUGAGAUGUGUUAUUUCCCUACAGAGUGCCUUUAUUUAUAGUAAUAAAGAAGAGAGGAAUUACCUGUCCUCCAAGUAAAUACAAUCCUAGUAGGGAAAGAAUAAAUAGUAACCAAAUCUGUUUAAGAUUUACACAAGACCUUUGAUAUAAUAUCUAUAACACUCCCCCUUAAGUGUGUAAAUAGUCAAGUAGAUUCAUCAUCAAGUAAAGUUGAGGAAGUCAACUCGUUGACACUGAUUUGGCAACACACUAGUCUUAGACAAAGGAACUUGCAUAUAGAACUAGGUCUCACAAAAACCCAAGGUGGGUCAAAAACCCGUAGUCUAAGGAAGGUGCGUGAGAAAGUGUAAAGUCAAAUUAACGUCUACGAGACGUAUUUCAAGAAUAUGACCAAUCCAAGAUGGGUGCCUCGUCAAAACCUCAUCAGGUAGCAAAAACCCAAAGGGAAAAAUUCUCCCAAUCGUAGGAAAAAAAGUACAUUAAAAUCAAGCGAGUAUACUUUGGGAUACUCCCCCUGAAUUUGACAUAAUUCCAAAGAGAACUAACAAUAUUACAACUCAGAAAGUUUACGUAUACCGAUUCCCUGAACAAGCUUCUGAAACGUCGUCUUCGGUAAAGAUUUGGUGAAGAGGUCGGCUAGGUUGUCCUAGCCCAGAGAAUAUUUUCAGAGAAUAUGAUGGGAUUUGGAAAAACAAUAAGUUAAAUAUUAAGGGGAAGUAGUAUUUAUAUUUAAUUGUUGCUUUAGCUUGUGUAUGUGUAUGGAGGCUUCUUUUGCACCCCUCUCAACUAAAAUUCCAUCAGAAAAAAAAAGGGCUGGGAGAGGCCAUGAAAUCGUGGGUAUUGUUAGGUUUAAGUACUAGUUUGGUACUGCUUAACUUUUAAAAAAAAGCAGGUAUGAAAAAAAGCACCCAAUUUUUUUGUGUUUGGUAAACUUUCAAAAUCAGUUUUUUUUUUCCAUAGUUUUGGGUGAAAAAAGGUAAAAAGGCAAAGCAGCAAAACCCAGCUUUGGAAAACCAGUUUUUUAUCACAAUACACGGGUGAAUAGUGCCAUUAAAUGAAAUUUUCAAAAUGGUAACCUUACCCUAUCUUUCUCCUUCAUCCCAGUUCUGGACUCCACCCCCUUUCUCCAGUCGCUCUCCGAUGUUGUACUGCCUAGAUUCACCACCCCAUCUCUCUCCCAAUCCCCACCAAAUACACCCAUCGCCACCUUGCAGACAAUGAUCCCAACCCACUCCCUGCUAGAUGAUAACACAGAUCCCACCCACCCACCCACCACCGCACCUUCCAAAACAUGUAAUGCCCUGGAAAUUGAAAUGUAGGAAAUAGAAAUUGGAGUGAGGACGAAGGUGCCAGGUCGCCGGAAUUGAAAGAGAAAUGCCAAGGGACGAAGGUGGGUGAGGACUUUGAAAUUUCAGGAGGGAUCAUUGAUUAAAAAUGGAAGAAAAGCCAGAAACAUUUUGGCAGAACGAAAUAGAAAGAAAGAAGAAUGAAAAAGCUAGAAACAAAGGGAAACAAAGAAGAAAGGAAAAAGGAAACAAUCAUGAACUUUUUGGCAGAAAGAAAAAGAAAAGAAGAAAAACCCAAACGUUUUUUUUUUUUUUUUCAUUUUACACAAUCACAACUGUUUUACAUAAAUAUUUACCAAACACUAUAACACUACUUUUUUUUUUUAUUAAAAGCACUUUUACAAUUAUCGUUACCAAACACUUUACUGCUUUAUUUUACAGCUAAUUAUUCUUACAGCACAACAGAAGCAGUUUUUUUUUCAAAGCACAACAAUACCCUUCACUUUUUUUACUAUUUCUGCAAGAACUUACCCUUCACUUUUGCUUGCUGAGUGGGUUGGGCACUGUAAAAACUAGAAGGUGAAUACUAGUUUGCAUCUAGAAAACAAAGGGCAACUUUAAGCAAACAAGGUUCUCUGCUUUGUGAAAGUCGUGGGCAGAAGGGGGGUGAAAUCCUUAACCCUCGCAAAUACAUAAAUGACACGUUUACUAAUCCGUAAUCAGAAUGAGGAAAAUUGAAAUGAGGAUGAAUUGAAUUAAGGAGGUGUUGAAUUGAGGGGAAAUCAUAAUCAAAUUCAUAUUAAAUUUAUUUACUAAUUCACUUGAAUCGGAAUUGAAUUUUGUUUGAUUACUAAACUGCUCUUGUUCUACAUAAUUUUUUUUAUCAUCCUCGUUAGUAAAAAUUUUAAUUUAUUUAACAUACAUUAAUCCAAUUUGUCGCCAUAAAAUAGAGGAAGAAUGUUUUUUUUACAUAAAAACAAAAAUAAAUAAAAAAACUCAUAACAACGAACACAAAGGAAGCACUUUUUUCCCCAAUUAACCUCACCAUCUCCCUUUCACCAGCCACCAUAGCCCUCCCAUCAGUGGCGAAGCCAAGAAUUAUUAAGAAAAAGGGCGAAAUUUAAAAGGGUAAAAAGUCCUGGAAAGAUGUAGACAUUUAUUCAAGGCCUAAGUCCAUGGUACGCAUGAAGAUUAGACAAUACUUCAUUCAACUAAGUGACUUCACUUUAUUGAGAACUUUCCUGAAUAUUCGAAUGAGGAUUUGUACUAACCGAAAUAUUCGAAUGAGGAUUUAGUCUACCCGAAAAUAUUCAAAAGAGGAUUUGGGCUAACCGGAAUAUUUGAAGGAGGAUUUAAGCACCGUUUCUUAUAAUAUAGUUCCAUUAUGCAAUUGUAUAAUGAGCAGGGUUUUAAAAGACAUUAUGCACUAGUCAGGUGGCGUGAUGUGCUCUAAUGCCUAGAGCUUAAGUAGAGCUUAGGCAAACUAGGCGGAUUUAAGUAAUUUAUCGUAUAAAUAAUUGCUAUUUAUUAUAUAACAUAAAUUAUAUAAAAUAUUAAUUAUAUAACAUAUAAUAUAUUAAAAUUGAUAGAUUUCCUUAAUAUUUUUGUCAAUUAUAAUAUGAGUUAAAAUUUAAGUGAUUAUGAGCUCGUAAAAAUUUACAUAUGUUGUAGGCCUAUUUAACUGAACUAUUCUAAGGGAAUGGAGAGGGGGGAGACCGACGGCAAUAGAGAGAGAAGAGAGAGAUUUAAUUGUGAGGUGUGUGUUGUAUCAUCCCAUUGUGCCUUUAUUUAUAGUAGUGGGAUAGGUUAAAUCUUUACCCUUUUAGGAUUACAACUGUAAUAGGAUAUUAACUACUAAAAGAAAUAUUCAAAGAUAUCCCUAGAUACACUAGGAUUUACACAAUCACAUUCUUAUUCUAAAUAUGACUGCAACACUCCCCUUGAGUGUGUAAAUACUCAAACAAAACAUCGCAUUAGAUCUUCAACAAAUAAGGUAGAACAGUUGAUGAAGUUGGCGGCACAAUGGGCGAAUGCAAGUCUUAAAUUUAAAGAAAGUAUGCAUUGGUAGUAAAACUCACAAAACCUCCCUAUGGUAAAACCUAAGGCAAGUGAAAACCCAUAGCCUAAAGAGAAAAGUGAGAAAUAUGCAUAAUGUAAAAAACAAACGUCAAACAGGACGAAAGUAGUGAACUCAAUGAGUAUGAUCAUCCCAAGAUGGGUGUCUCAUCAAAACCUCGUUAGGUAGAAAAAAAUCAGUGGGAAAAAUGCUCAUAAUCGUAGGAAAAAGAGUUCAUUAAGAUCAAGUGAGUAUGCUUCAGGAUACUCCCCUGAGUUAGACAUAAUUUCCAAAUAAGAGAACUAUAAGUAAUUCAACUCAGAUAAUUUACGCAUACCAAUUCCUUGGAUGAGCUUCUGAAAAGUAGACUUGGGCAAUGACUUGGUAAAGAGAUCGGCUAGGUUGUCUUGGGAACGGAUUUUUGACUUUAAUGUUCUGAUGCUGUUGUUGUUGGUGAAAAUAAAAAAACUUCAGUGCACUGUGCUUGGUGUUGUCUCCCUUGAUGUAUCCCUUCUUUAACUGCUCAAUACAUUUAGCAUUGUCUUCAAAGAUUGUCGUAAGAAGGUCAAUGAUGGUAGUAAAACUAUUAGUGCUUCGAAUAUGUUCCAUGACUACUCUCAACCAAAAGCACUCAUGCGAUGCUUCAUGCAAGGUGAUAAUCUCAGCAUGGUUCAAAGAAGUCGCAACUAGCGUUUGCUUGGUAGACCUCUAAGAUAUAGCGGUGUCUCCAACGUUAAAGAUAUAGCACGUUUGAGAACGUGCCCUAUGUGGGUCAGACAGAUAUCCCGCAUCUGCGUAACCAACAAAGCAUGAAUCAACCCGAGAACCAAAGGGGGUGGCGGUUCUCUGUCGUACCCUUAAGGUCGUGAAAAAUGUCUUUAACACCAUUCCAGUGUCUACAUAUGGGCGCAUUGCUGUAUCUAGCCAAAAGAUUAACAACGAAUGAGAUAUCGAGUCUAGUGCAUUGAGCCAAGUACAAUAAAGCCCCAAUUGUACUUAGGUAUGGAAUUUCAGGCUCUAAAGCUCUUCCUCAUCCUCAUUUGGACGGAAAGGAUCUCGUUUAGUAAGUACAGUUUAAACAACCAUAGAAGUACUCGAAAGCUUCGCUUUAUCCUCAUUAAAACAUUGCAACACCUUUUGGGUGUAGUUCGAUUGAUGUAUUAAGAUUCUAUCCGAGCAAUGCUCAAUCUCCAGGCUAAGACAAUAUCAAGUUUUCCCAAGAUCUUUCAUCUCAAAUUUCGAUUUCAAGUAAACGGUAAUUUCCUUAAGCUCUGCGGAAGUUCCGAUGAGGUUCAUGUUGUCGAUAUAAACUGCAACAAUUACAAAUCUGGAAUGUGACGUCUUUAUGAACACGCAUGGGCAUAAUUCGUUGUUCACAUAAUCCUGACUUGUCAAAUAUUCACUCAGACGGUUAUACCACAUUCGUCCGGAUUAUUUCAAUUCGUAAAAUGAUCUCCUCAAUCUAAUAAAGAUAGUGUUCCAUGGUCUAGAACUAUUUGAACCAGUCAAUGGAAGUUCUUCUAGAAAUUUCAUGUAGAUUUCCAUAUCUAGAUCCUCAUAGAGAUACGUGGUUACAACGUCCAUAAGCUGCAUAUUCAGUUUUUUAGAAACUACCAAACUGAUAAGGUAGCGGAACAUUAUGACGGCCAUUACGGGGGAAUACAUCUCUUUGUAAUCAAUCCCAAAGCAAUGAGAGAAGCCUUGCACUACAAGGCGUGCUUUGUAUCACACUAUUUCAUUCUUCUAAUUACGCUUCCUUAAGAAAACCCAUUUGUAGCCCACGGGCUUCAUGUGUGGUGGGGUAUGAACUAUAGGUCCAAACACCUUACGUUUCGCAAGCGAAGUGAGUUCGACCUGGAUUGCUUGUUUUCAGUUUGACCAAUCAGUUCUACGUCGGCAUUCAUCAACGGAAAGUGGUUCAAUGUCAUCACUAAGUAUGAUGUCAGUAGCUACUGUGUACCCAAAUGCAUCGUCGAUAAUCAUCUCAUUCUAACUCCAAACCUCAUCCAAUACUACUUAGUGGACCGAAAUCUCACGAUUCUUGGGAGGUCGGGUUGUCUCAUCUAAGACAUCACCGUAAUCUAGAAUAACCUCAUGCAUUGGAGCAGAUGAGCGAGUGAUGGUCGAAUUCAGACUAGGGUCACUAGUUUAUACUGUUUUCCUAUCCCGGGGUUGUGAAUCCUUUAAACCAAGAGGUCUCAUCAAACCCAUACUAUGUUCAUCAUUCAGACAAUCUUAGUCAUAUGCUAGUUUCAGAAAAAUUGAAUGGAUCUAACUAUCCAUCUUGGAGUAAUUCCAUGAUUCAUGCUCUCAUCGCCAAAAACAAAAUUGGUUUUGUUAAUGGCUCCAUUCAGCCUUCCUCACCAACAGAUCAACCAAAAGAAUAUGCUCUCUGGAAUCAAUGCAAUAGUAUGAUUUUAUCAUGGUUCGCUCAAUCUGUAGAUGUGAUCUUUCCAAAAAAGUUGUUCAUGCCAAAAGCGCCCAACAAGUAUGGGAAGAUUUCAGAUAUCAGUUCUCACAAAAGAAUGCACCAACAAUUUAUCAAAUCCAAAAGUCCAUCGCAUAUCUCACACAGGGCUCCAUGACAGUCUCAGCCUAUUUUACAAAGCUUAAAAGCCUUUAGGACGAAUUAGAGACAUAUCGUCAUCUUCUCAUCUGCGACCAAACAAAGGCACAUAAUGAACAAAUAGAAGAAGAUAAGAUGAUGCAAUUUCUUAUGGGUCUGAACGAUGUCUACUGCGGAUUUCGCAGUAAUAUUCUAAUGAUGACACCACUGCCCAAAGUUCGUCAAGCCUACUCACUUACUAUUCAGGAUGAAACACAACGACAAAUGUUAUCGGGGUCGAUUGAAAAUUUCUCAAUUGCUGCUGCUGUUCAAAAUUGACCAAACCAUUCUUCCAACAAUUCUAAAAAUCCUCACUGUGAAUACUGUGAUAAAGACGAUCAUACAAUUGACAAUUGUAGGACUUAAAUGUACCAUUGCAAGUUUUGUGAUAAGCGAGGCCACACUGAAGACAGAUGUAGAUUUAAAAUGGAACAAGCGGAGGAAAUCAAGGCAACAACAAAUCAAUUCCACGUGGGUCCCAAGGCAACAACAACCCACGUGUUGUAUCUCAAAAUUUCCAUGGUUUCCAUGCUGCCCACGUAGCAACUAGUGGUUCCUAUUCUGCUACAAAUGCAGCAGCUGCAUCCGCUGUCCCAUACAAUCUGGCGUAUAGACAAGGUGCCCAGCAACCUCCAUCGAACCCAUUGCAAGGCCUCUCAACGGAACAGCUUCAACAAUUAGCCCAUGUUGUGUCCCUGGUGAAUUUAAAUCCUCAUUCUGGUAAUAACAAUGCUUAUGCGAAUGCUGCAUGUCUAUCAUCUUUUACUGUUGCCUCCGUUAAUUCUGUAUUUUCUCAACCUUGGAUUUUGGAUAGUGGGGCUAUCAAUCACAUCACAUCACAUCAGAUUCUUUACUUUUUACCAAAACUAAAUCUUCACCAAUAUCCAUUGUUAAAUUACCAACCGGUUCUUCAGCCACAGUUACUUCCACUGGCACCAUACCAUUCAAUUCAGACAUUACAUUAGACAAUGUUUUAUGUGUUUCUUCUUUUCAUUUAAAUCUCAUGUCUGCUAGUCAAGUCACUGACUCCCUAAAUUGUUGCGUCAUUUUGUUUCCCACUUUCUGUGUCUUGCAGGACUUGGAUACUAGGAGGAUGACUGGAUCGGGUAAGCAGCGUGGUGGUCUUUAUUACAUGUCACCAUUGCAGCGGACGCCUGUCUCUUGUCAAGUUUCUCAUUCCUCCAAUUUAUGGCAAAUGCGACUUGGACGUCAUUCUCCAACCCGCUUUAAAUUAGUAUUUCCCUCAUUGUCUACCAAUAAUAUUUGUACCAUUUAUCCUAUAGCCAAACAAACCAAACUUCCAUUUCCUUUAAGCUCUAUAUAAACUCAUGCUCCAUUUGAUUGAUUACAUUGUGAUAUUUGUGGUCCUCACAAAGUUCCCAUGCAUUUAGGUGCUUGAUUUUUUCUCACUAUUGUCGAUGAUUUUACUAGGUGCACAUGGGUUUUCUUGAUGCAACAUAAAACUGAAACUCAACACCUUUUAAAAUCUUUUGUUACUUGUACCCAUACAUAAUUUCAUGCACAAAUUAAAGCAAUCAGGGUUAAUAAUGGGUCUGAGUUUUUGUCCAUGAAAGAUUUUUUCCAAACCAAUGGCAUUGAAUACCAAUGUACAUGUGUCUACACUCCACAACAGAAUGGUGUUGUUGAACGUAAACAUCAUCACAUUCUCACCGUGGCACGUAGUUUACGUUUCCAAUCUCAGGUACCCCUUUCAUUUUAGGGCGAAUAUGUCAACCGUUGUCUACCUAAUUAAUCAUUUACCAUCUCCUUUGUUGUCCAACAAAUCUCCUUUUGAGUUAUUAUACCAACGUUCACCAUCAUUUGAUCAUUUAAAAGUUCUUGGCUGUUUGUGUUUUGCCACUGUUGUUCACUCUACACACAAAUUUGACACUCGUGCUAGACGUUGUGUGUUUGUUGGAUACCCCACUGAUAAAAAAGGCUACACCCUAUAUGAUCUAGAAACAAACAAAUUUUUUGUUAGUCGGGAUGUUAAAUUUAACGAAACAAUUUUUCCAUUCCAUUCACCAACCCACCCUUCUAUAACCGACCCUUACAACAGCUCCUUACCACCACUCCCAUCAAUUAGUCGUGACAUCCUAUCACUCAGUCUUGACAUACCAUCCAUCAGUCAUGACCCCAUUUCCCCAACCCAACCCACUAGCCUGCGGUCCCCACCACCUCACCCUAAGCCUAUUACCAUCAUAUCACCCCAUAUUAAUUUCCCUUCCCCCAUUAGACCCCCCACCACAUAUCAUUUCUCAUCUUACACCAUCCAUUGACACGCCAACCCAUUAACCUGACCUCUUCCAUCAACCCGACCCCACGCCCUCCCCCUCCAUUCCCACGUCAAGUCCAAAGCAACCUCCGAUAUGGCAUAAAGACUACCAUGUGACCAACCAAGUUAGUUAAUAUACCCCGGCGCCUCGUCCUUCCUCAGGUACUCGGUAUCCCCUUUCUGAUUUUAUUUCCUAUUCACGCCUUUCUUCUGCCCAUUGUGCUUUUUAGCUAACAUUACAGGUCCUGCCGAACCCACAUCCUAUGCUCAAGCUAUCCUUGAUCCAAAAUGGCGAACUGCCAUGCAUGCAGAAUUAACGGCUUUGCAGCACAACAAUACAUGGACCAUGGUUCCCUUGCCUGCUGGUCACAAACCCAUUGGUUGCAAAUGGGUCUAUAAAAUUAAGUACAACUCUAAUGGCACAAUUGAGCAAUACAAGGCUCGUCUCAUUGCUAUAGGCUACACUCAAAUUGAGGGCAUCGAUUAUCAGGAAACUUUUUCUCCUACUGCUAAACUCACCACUCUUCGUUGCCUUAUUGCCAUUGCUAGUGCCCGUCAUUGGUUUACUCAUCAAUUGGAUAUUCAGAAUGUUUUUCUUCAUGAUGAUCUACAUGAGGUUGUUUUCGUGGAAGCUCUUCCUGGUUUUCACCGAUAGGGGGAGAACAUUGUAUGUCAGCUUAACAAAUCUCUAUAUGGACUUAAACAGGCCUCCAGAAACUGGUUUUCCACUUUUUAAAUCACCAUUCAAAAAGCUGGUUAUCAACAGUCAAAAGCUGAUUAUUCCCUUUUUACAAAGGCCCAAGGUACCUCAUUCACUGCAGUCCUUAUCUAUGUAGACGACUUACUUUUUACAGGAAAUGAUCUUAAAGAGAUGGAACGUCUCAAAACAUUUCUUCUCACAUGCUUCCGCAUCAAAGAUCUUGGUGAUUUAAAAUAUUUUUGGGCAUUGAAUUUUCUCAUUCCAAGAAAGGCAUUUUCAUGUCUCAGUGGAAAUAUGCACUAGAUGUUUUGCAGGAUUCUGGUCUUACAGGGGCACACCCAGACAAGUUUCCAAUGGAACAAAAUUUGAAAAUCACUCCCACCGAUGAAGCAUUGUUAGAUGAUCCCACCAAGUACAUAAGACUAGUCGGACGAAUUGAUUUAUCUUACUGUCACCAGGCUUGACAUAGUCUUUUCAGUUCGCACAUUGAGUCAAUUCAUGUACGAGCCUUGCAAACCUCACUGGGAUGCAGCUUUACGAAUUCUCAAGUACUUCAAAGGUACUUUUGGUUAAGGUUUGUUAUUUCAUGUCUCCGACAAUCUUGAAUUAAAGGCUUUUUUGUGAUUCCGAUUGGGGAGGUUGUCAUGCCACAAGAAGGUCAGUUACUGGGUAUUAUGUCUUUCUUGGAAAUUCCCUCAUCUCAUGGAAAUCCAAGAAGACAAUGUUUCUCGAUCAUCUGCAGAAGUUGAAUAUCGAGCUAUGGCCAACACAGGCCUAGAGUUAACAUGGUUGUGCUAUAUAUUGCAAGAUUUAAAGGUUCCGCAAAAGGGUCCCACACCAUUAUUUUGUGACAAUCAAGCCGCUCUAUAUAUUGCAGCUAAUCCCGUUUUUCAUGAGCGAACAAAACAUAUUGAAAUUGAUUGUCACAUUGUUCGAGAAAAAUUGCAAGCUGGAAUGAUUAGUCCUUCACAUAUACCUACACGUUUCCAGUUAGCAAAUUUAUUCACAAAGGCUUAAGGGAAAGAUCAAUUCGUGAAAUUGCGAAACAAGUUGGGACUUCAUGAUAUUCACUCUCCAACUUGAGGGGAAGUAUUAAGAAAGGAUCGUGUACUGUAUAUGUUUACCUAAAGUAGUUGAUGUGAAAUCCCAUUAAAAGAGGGAUGCAAUUUCCUAGGCAGUAUUGUAGAUUAGUUGACUUAGUUGUGUAUAUAUAUUGUACUCUUACUUGGGCAAUGAGAUAUACGAAAAGCAUUCAGCCUAUCUAUUUCCAUAGCCUUGCAAUAUACUAUUUUAAUAAGGAAAACUAAUGAAAAGAGCUUGAAAUCUUUGAGUUUUAAUGAUAAGGACAAAAUAAAGAGUAAAGUGAAUAGUACCAUGAUUGACUUUUUAGUGUAAAAAUGUGGUUUUUCGUUAAAGUGAACAGUACCGGGUGCUUUUCAUUAAAGUUCCCUAAUAUAAUAUUCUUUCUUUUUAAUAAUAUGUUCUCAAACUUAUUAGUGUGCUUAUGGACUUAUCCCGAUAUUCCAAAGUCGUCUCUAAUUUGAACGGGCUAUGUGGUGCUAUGUUUGAACGGGCUUUUUUUGCUUAUGAACUUAUUAGUGUGCUUAGAGACGACUUUGGAAUUCACUCCCGAUUCCAAAGUCAUCUCUAAUUUGAACGGGCUAUGUGGUGCUAUGUUUUUGGUGCAGUUGGAAAGCAGUAAGAAUGGCAUCUUCCUUUGCCUAAUUACAUGAAGUGGUAAGAGGAUAAUAUGCUUGCUUCUCUAAGUUUGCAUGUCAUGGAAAUGCUGCCUUGUAAGUUGUGUGUUCUGUGAAGAUAACAUAGUACUAUAGGCUGAAUUUUGACUACGAGCCAGUGAUUAGAGUAACCGAUUUGAUGCUGAUUAAGGAUGCUAUUUCUAUAUUUAGGAAAUUUGUUCUCAUUUACCUAGCUGAGAUGGUCUCUUCAGAUUGGUGAUGUCCAUUUUUGUUGCGAGGAGUUGCCAGUCGUUUGUCAUACCAUAUGCUAAUGAGAUUCUGUUUGCCCAUGUAUGUUUCUUUAUCUAACAACAAACACUCCUAAGUUAUAUGUUCUUGGUUCUCUAUAUCGAGUAAUGACUUGAUCUAGAAGAUUUGGUCAUCUGGUAUGAGAGUUUUCUUCUUUCAGCUUGCGCAAACGAAGGGGCUGGUCCUAUCUUUUGACGAUAAGAAUAAUGUACAGUCUUUUUUAGGUUUGGUCUAAUAUGUAGAGUCUUCACUCGGGGUAUUUGUCGACGAGAUAAGAUGAUACAAGGUAAAUUUUAAUUCUUGUUUCAAUUAUGGAGCAGGAUAUCUAUAAUUCACAUUACAAUCUGUAAUGUUGAUGAUUGAAUUAUUAAUUAAGUGUUGAUUAGCAGACUUAUAUAUUGCUUGAGCUAAUACGACGCUACAAUGUUGGAUGCUAAUACGUCGAUCUCACAUUACAAUCUGUAAUUCACAUUCUAUGUAUAAAAGUAUAGUUUCAAGUUUUUGACAAGCAAAAUGUACACUAAAUUGCUCUAUGAAGCUCAGCCAUCAUACAUAAGGUAUUAUCGCCCACACUGGAUUCUAAAUGGGCGAUAAACACUAGAGUGGUAGUAGGGUUGGUUUGGCAUAUAUAUGGUUACACCCCUUACCAAUGAAAUGGGAUCGAAUCGAAUCAUUAAAUUUAUACGUGACCAAUGUUAGCACAACUCACGAUCACAUCAGCAAAAAUUUUUUGGUUUCACAAUUCACACCCGCCAACGUUUGUGAUAACAUUAUAGGUGAGUAGCACAACUCCUUGGUAUGAUGGUGUCAUGUGCAGGUGAAGCUAGCAUAACACCUAGAUUUCACUCCUACCAAUUAUGAUAGCAUCACACGCGACUAUCGCCAGUAGGGGUGGGUUGGAAAAACCGAAAACCGAAAAAAACCGGACCGAAAACCGAACCGAGGUCGAAAAAAAACCGAACCGAAUCUGUUGAACCGAACCGAACCGAAUCUGGUUGGUUCGGUUUCGGUUUCUAAGGUUCGAAAACCGAACCGAACCGAAGUUAAUUUAUUAAUUAAUAAUCCUAAUUCUAAAACGGCACCGUUUUCACCCCGAAAUGUAACCUAAACCUAGGUCCCUAACCCUCAUCUCUUGGUCUCGCCUGUUUUCCCACUUCCCAGUUCGCCCAGUAGCCCACAAACUCCACUUCUCCCCCAAAUUCGCCCACUCCUACUCCAACCUCUUCAGCAUCGUCAUCUCCGCCCGCCCCUCCUCCAUCCGCAUCUGCGUCUUCCACUUCCUCGACGACACCGCCCCCUCUAAAUCCUCUUCUUUUCUGGCUCUAAGCUCGACGCCUUCGGCUCCGACUCUCUGAGAAGCUUCUCGAGUCGUGCUGGAAGGUGCUCAGGUCGUCCGGCUUUUGGUUCAAGGACGAGUGGGCCCCAGCCCUCAAGAUUCCCUGAAAUUCAAUCGAUUGUUGCUUCUGCACUUUUGAUCACAAACCCCAAACCCCAAAUCCCUAAUCCCUAAUCCAAAUCAGAAGCAAAAGCAAUUGGAGGACUCAACCGACGACAAUUCAUAUUCAUCGCCUUCCUCAGCUCCGAGGAAUCCGAGUGCUCUUCGAAAAGGCACCAUCGCAGAAAAGAUGACGAUGGUUCAAGAAGAGAGAAGGAACGGAGAGAGAAACGGAGAAGCAAGAGAGAGACGAAGAGAAUGAAAUCAAAGAAGAAGAGGGCUUAUGGUGUUGAUGACGGCGAUGAGUCCGGUUCUGGAAGGAGUGCUGAUGAUUCAGAUCCAGGCCGGAGUCGGCUCGAUCCGCAACCCGUUUUACGAGAAUUGUUCAUCGAAUUUCCCAAUGUUGGGAAUGAUUUGAAAAAGGUACAUUUACACCACCAAGUAAUUUUGUUUAGAAUCAGAAUUGUUGGAUUAGAAUUCAUGUAUCAAAUGAAACUCUCAAGAUUUGAUUAAUUAGAGACGAAUCCAAUCUUUUCCCGCCAUGAAACUGAUGAUAAUUUCAUUUACUUUUUGUUGUUGUUUAGCUAUGGAAUUAAGUUUGAAUACUAACUAGAAAAUUUCCUACCUUUUCCAGCCAUGACAUUCUGUUGAUUGUCAGUUAUUUUUGGGGUUAAAAUUGAACUGAAAAUUGGUGCAAAUAGCAGGUGAGGAACAAGGUGUUUAUGCCCAGCGACGAACCCAUACUCUCGUUUAAUUUUCUGUUAUACUUAUACAGUUUUAGAGGUUUGGAAUGUUUGCUCUCUGUGGUUGUUUGAAUGUUUGCUUUCUGUGAUUGUUUGGACCAUUGUUGCACUGCUCUCUGCAACAAGGCUCAAUUGAAAGAAAAAUCAAAAUUCCCAAAAAAAAAAAAAAAAAAAAAAAAAGAGGAGAAAAACCAAACCGGGCCGAAACCGAACCGAAAAAAACCGAACCGAAUACAAACCGAACCAAACACAAACCGAUAGAAAAUCGAACCGAACGGAACCGAACCCACGCCUAAUCGCCAGCAUAACUCUUUAAAUUUCGCAGCUGCUAGCUAGCGACUUUGACGGUGCCACAAGCAAGGGACACUAACACAACUCAAUUGUACAUUGAUAUUAACCAACAAACACCGUUAGAGUCCAAAUGCAUUGCAAUGCAUCCCAUUCACCAUUAAUAUUGUCGCACCGCACACCUCCCAUCAAAACCCAACUUCAACCAAACACUGCCCAACCACCAAACCUAGCACCAACAAUAAGUAACCCACCCCCAGCGCAUUUUAGCAACCCCAAGGCCUAAAUGGCGCACCCGAUUGCGGAGGCGAACGAACAAAGCCCCUUCGGCGCGUUGACCCCAGAGGCAUUCUAUUCCCGCCACAACGUCUCUCACGCCUCCGAGUACUUCACAAACCCUAGAGGCCUCAAGCGCUUCACCCAGUGGUGGACCCCGCUCCCUCCGACCGAGAUUGUAGGAACCCUCGCCAUCGUCCACGGCUUCACCGGCGAGACCAGCUGGUUCGUCCAGCUCACCGCCGUCCACUUCGCCAAGUCUGGCUUCGUCGUCUGCGCCAUUGAUCAUCAGGGUCACGGCUUCUCCGAUGGCCUCGCCGCCCACAUCCCCGACAUCAACCCCGUCGUCGACGACUGCAUCUCCUUCUUCGACUCAUUCCGAGCCAAUCACGCGCCGAAGAACCGCCCCUCGUUCCUCUACGCCGAGUCCCUCGGUGGCGCCAUCGCACUCCUCAUGACUUUCCGGCAGGGAAGCGGCGCGUGGGAUGGC
Molecule: long non-coding RNA, 26598 nt
Filed under: Malus domestica (apple)
Lineage: Eukaryota; Viridiplantae; Streptophyta; Magnoliopsida; Rosales; Rosaceae
Description: long non-coding RNA (MDOM_LNC007007)
Source: RNAcentral